UCGCACUCCAGCUGAGGCACUCUGUGCCAUCAUUCUGGAUUCUUCUUCUCCCUUUCGAUGUAGCUGAGCCACAUCACUGAGCAAAUUGACAGGCCUGGAGGAUAUUACGAUGGCUUCAAGGAGCUCGUGGAGGAAGACGAACGUGUCACCAGCUGAGGCCAUCCAUGGGCUCUGUCUGAUGUGCCCGCCUCGAGGAGAGAUUGACUGCAGACAAGUGCAUGCACCUGAAGACCCCGCCUGAACAGUGUAAUUGGCCUGGCCAGAAACUCAGCACCACUUUCUAAAUAAUCCACCAGCUCUGGAUGUUGGGGAAGAGUGAAAACCUGCCUCCGGGGGUGCUGAAGCAGCUCUCAGUGUGGCACUAUGAAUCCACUGCUCCUGGC
This is a long non-coding RNA of Erinaceus europaeus (western European hedgehog), 383 nucleotides long. RefSeq lists it as uncharacterized. Lineage: Eukaryota; Metazoa; Chordata; Mammalia; Eulipotyphla; Erinaceidae. The transcript is spliced from 3 exons. The record is from RefSeq and is a predicted model, not a curated record.